Molecule: ribosomal RNA, 923 nt
Filed under: uncultured bacterium
Lineage: Bacteria
Description: bacterial SSU rRNA
Rfam family: Bacterial small subunit ribosomal RNA
Source: RNAcentral
ACAUGCAGUCGAGGGGCAGCAUUUUAGUUUGCUUGCAAACUAAAGAUGGCGACCGGCGCACGGGUGAGUAACACGUAUCCAACCUGCCGAUAACUCGGGGAUAGCCUUUCGAAAGAAAGAUUAAUAUCCGAUAGUAUAUUAAAACCGCAUGGUUUUACUAUUAAAGAAUUUCGGUUAUCGAUGGGGAUGCGUUCCAUUAGUUUGUUGGCGGGGUAACGGCCCACCAAGACUACGAUGGAUAGGGGUUCUGAGAGGAAGGUCCCCCACAUUGGAACUGAGACACGGUCCAAACUCCUACGGGAGGCAGCAGUGAGGAAUAUUGGUCAAUGGGCGAGAGCCUGAACCAGCCAAGUAGCGUGAGGGAUGAAGGCUCUAUGGGUCGUAAACCUCUUUUAUAUGGGAAUAAAGUUUUCCACGUGUGGAAUUUUGUAUGUACCAUAUGAAUAAGGAUCGGCUAACUCCGUGCCAGCAGCCGCGGUAAUACGGAGGAUCCGAGCGUUAUCCGGAUUUAUUGGGUUUAAAGGGAGCGUAGGUGGAUUGUUAAGUCAGUUGUGAAAGUUUGCGGCUCAACCGUAAAAUUGCAGUUGAAACUGGCAGUCUUGAGUACAGUAGAGGUGGGCGGAAUUCGUGGUGUAGCGGUGAAAUGCUUAGAUAUCACGAAGAACUCCGAUUGCGAAGGCAGCUCACUAGACUGCAACUGACACUGAUGCUCGAAAGUGUGGGUAUCAAACAGGAUUAGAUACCCUGGUAGUCCACACAGUAAACGAUGAAUACUCGCUGUUUGCGAUAUACAGUAAGCGGCCAAGCGAAAGCAUUAAGUAUUCCACCUGGGGAGUACGCCGGCAACGGUGAAACUCAAAGGAAUUGACGGGGGCCCGCACAAGCGGAGGAAUAUGUGGUUUAAUUCGAUGAUACGCGAGGAA